This 350-nucleotide ribosomal RNA is filed under the name Ammobius rufus. Its description in RNAcentral is "partial 12S ribosomal RNA". The record is from RNAcentral. Lineage: Eukaryota; Metazoa; Arthropoda; Insecta; Coleoptera; Tenebrionidae.
UUAUUGGAAAUGUUAUUUUUAAGCCAUGAUUAUUAUGAGUUAUGAUCUUUAAAGUUAAAUGAUUUGGCGGUAUUUUAGUCUGUUCAGAGGAACCUGUCUCUUAAUUGAUAGUCCACGAUAAUUUUUACUUUUACUUUAAAUUUAUAUAUCGUCGUUUGUAAGAAUUUUUAGAGGAUAAUAAUUCUUGGAAUUUUUGAUUAUAAAAUAAUUCAGAUCAAGGUGUAGUUUAUGUAGAAGAUGGGAUGGGUUACAUUAUGAAUACAUGUGGUUUAUAAAUUUAUAUAUUUAUGAUAAAAUGGAUUUGUUAGUAAUUUCUUUAUUUAKGGGAAUUGAUUUAGCUCUAAAAUAUG